CUUGUGUUGUUAUUAGUGGCUACCUGAUGAAACAAUUUUCUUGAUUCAAUAGAAUCCCAAAGUGAUGAAUAGAGUCAGCCCCCAGAUAGGGAGGUACACACUAACACAUACACACGUACUGAACGAAGAGUUCGAGAGUUGCCUCCAUAAACUUGGUUCCUUACACUCAUUUCAUCAUAAGACUAAGGGAAGUGAGGGAUUUGGUUGAGGAUUUAAAAAAGGAAUCAUUCAUUUCUUCUUCUGCCAUCCAUUGCUAAUGUGACUCUCAAGUCAGAGGCUUUAGGGAAGUAGAUUUAUUGCUUAAGUAACUUUUCUUUUCCACUCAUAUUUAUGAACGUGUUGAAAUACUUGUAUUGAAGUUGCUCAAGGAAGAGGUAACUCUAUGCACAUAAGUGGUUGCUUGAAACCUUCAAUUUUUGUGGGCCUCUAAAUGAAUCUCCUGUUCAGGUUAUUUUAAUUUUGUGGACCAUUGAUUUGUAUCAAGUUCUUUAUUUUUCUUUUCCAUUUUACCAAUCUUGAUAAAAUAACAGUUUGGAUUUUUUUUUUUAUUUGGACUUUAGCACAACUUGUGACGAGGGCACUGUCUUAUUGAGAAUUUUCAGUCUUGGAUGUGCCAGUUUUUUUAUAGGGUGUUCUAAAGCCAUAGACUGAUUUCAGUGCCUUUAUUAUACAUCUAACUUUUUGGCAGGAUGCAGAGAGUGCUAUCAAUGACUUGAAUGGUUUGGCAUUUAAGAACUUUUCCUUGCUUGGUUUCAUCAUUCUGCACUCUCUAGAAAGUAUUGGCACAGAUGAUUGAUGUGUUUUACACUCUGAAUUGUAGGUAAAUGGCUUUCGAAUAGGCAAAUAAGAUGCAACUUGGCACCUAGAGGCUCUGGAUCCAGUGAAGACAAGCAAAUUGGUAAUAAUCAAAAUGCAGUUGUACUUACCAGUGGAUCGUCAGAAGGAGUCCAAGAAAAUGCUAACAAGGAUGCUUGUGAAAACAAUCCUGCAUAAACUACUGUCUGUGUUGGUAAUAUUUCCCAUAAGGUAAUUGAAGGAUGUAGAAUAAAGGAAUCGAUAUAUUAUGCUAUUGCUUUGCUUAUACAUUUAAUCUUUUCCAUUACUGAUGUCCAUAAGAGGGAACUUUGAUUCCAUAUGGGUCCCUUGAUGAAUAGUAACUUCUUAUAAGACUGUAGUUUUAUACUACUGUCAGUUCUGUGAAUUUUCAAAUUAUAAUUGAAGUGUUUUAGGAGCAAAUAAUUUCAGUAAUAAGUUUUCCCCUUAUAUUUAAUAAGCUUUUUGUUAAUAAAAUUUCUAGAAUAUUUUCUGCUGUUGUUUUUAUGAGAAAUAUUGUCCUAGUUGGAUUGAAUGUCACAACUGGUGAACAAUGAAUCAGUUGCCGUUGGUGUAAGAAAGUAGGACUGUAGGAGGCUAGUUGCAAAAUUAAGUGAAGAACCACCCUUAAGAGCUCUGUUGGGAACUUUUCUUUAUUGGAUGCCCCACUGAAAUUUCCUUGAGGUUGUUUGCACUUCUUCCAGAUGUGUGCUAAUGCUCUUUAUGUUGCACCUUCUCAUUUUGUUUCUGAUAGGUUUUGUUGGUCUUCUUUGUAAUCUGCUUUUGGUACGACAAUUCCUAUACUUUUUCCAUUAAACUUUUGAACUCUGUUUUCAUGUUGUCUUGUCACUCUGUAACUAUGAUUACUUUUAGUUAUAAUCAUCUUAUCCAUUUCAGUGCAAACAAUGAUGUUAGCUCUUGAAUUUUUCCUUCACAAUUUGGUUUGUGCAAUAAGGUAACUCAAGCUGAGCUUCAUUGUCAAUUUCAUGCUCUUGGGGCUGGGGUAAUUGAGGAAGUGAAAGUUCAGGGAGAUAAAGGUUCUGGAUUUAUAAGAUAUAAUACUCAUGAAGAAGCAGCCUCCGCCACUCAGAUGGCCAAUGGAAAUAUAAUUUCAGGAAAGCCCAUGAAGAUGGCCUUUACGGCAUCAUGAUGCUCUGGAGAGGGGAGCUUUUGCAUGGCUAUAAUAAGGUCCAAAAUACACAAUUCAAAUGUUACCUCAACUUACCACACUUGCAAACUUUACUGUGUGUAGUCAAUGCCAUCGUUAGCUGUCAUUCCCAUUCACAUUAAUGGUAUGUUGAUAGCUACGAGGUUAACGUGCCCAUCAUUUAUGUCAUAUGCCCAGAUCUUGCAUGAUGAAGAUUUUAUUUCUGCUUUACCCAGCGGCUGACUAUUAACCUUGUAGUGCCUUGCUUUCUAUUAUGGAAAAUUUUCAACUUGCAUUGUUAUGGUUUGUGAAAGUGCAGCGGCUAUGAUACUAAUGCUGUCACAUUAGAGAUAUUUUAUUUAUAAUUUUAUUAUUUAAUAUUAUAAGUUUCCCUUACUUUUUGACUAAAAAAUAUGUUCAAAUUUAGAACUAGUGAUCCAGCUUGUUUUAGGCAUGCUCUUAAGCAACAUGUUUGCUUAAGGGAAGUUGGUGUUAACUGGUUGUAAAAGCAAAUUUUUGUAUCGUCUAUAUAUAGCAAUGAAAAUAUAGACUUUGAUCUCUUCUUCCUCAAAUUUCUUGCUCUGUAUUUAUUUUUCAGUCCAACAAGUGGUAGUGGAGUCUUCUCUAAUCUUUGAGAGGCCUGAAUAGUGAGCGACAAAGGAGAGAAAACCAGUCAGAUUCCCUUACACAAACCCAAAGCCAUUUCAACCCCCAUUUGUUAUGGCUUCCAGCAGCUUUGGAACUGGUCCACCACCAGUGUUUGAUGGUCAAAAUUAUCAGCUUUGGGCUGUAAAAAUGAAGACCUAUCUGAGAGGCCUUGAUCUUUGGGAAGUUGUGGAGACUGGAAAUGGUCCUCUACCAUUGAGAGCCAACCCCACUGUGACUCAGAUGAAGCAUCAUGCAUAAGAGAGUUCCAAGAAAUACAAGUCCUUGUCCAUUAUUCAUACUGCAGUGACAGAGACAAUUUUCACAAGAAUUAUGGCUUGUGAAACGGGCAAGGAAGCUUGUGACAAAUUAAAAGAAGAGUCUCAAGGGAGUGAAAAGACCAAGCACAUGCAAGUUUUAAACUUCAAAAAAGAAUAUGAGUUAUUGAAAAUGAAAGAGAGUGGACCAGUAAAAUAGUAUGCUAGUAGGCUUGUGAAAGCAUUAAAUCAAAUCAGGUUGCUUGGGAAGAUUUACCAAAGAGGAGGGUGAUUGAAAGCUGAGUUGGUGAAUGCCUUACAAGCUGUAAAGCAGAGGAAAGCUUAUAGACUUGAAGAUACAAAUGAAAGUGCUCUCCUUGCUAGUAAAAAAAGCUCAGUUAAGUGGAGGAGAAAAGAAGCUUGCUAGCGAUAAAAAGGAAAAGGAGAAGAAAGAUUAUCAAGGCAACAAAGGGAAGUACCAGCCAUAUUCACAUUGCAACAAAAAGGGACACUCUGAAAAUUACUUCUGGUAUAGGCCUAGAGAGCAAUGCAGAACAUGCAAGCAAUUUGGGCAUGUUGAAAAAGUGUGCAAGGCCAAAGUGAUGUGGCCCAACCGUAAGUGCACAGAUUGCACAAGUAGUACAAAAAAAGAUAUCGUUCCCACGGAGAGUUGUGUUAGUGAUUGAAUUGUUGAUGUAAAAUUAAUUGAUUAUAGUUAAAAUUAAACUAAAAAGGUAAUAAAAGGAAGAGCAUGAAAUUUACGAAUAUAAUUAUAAUUUCAACUAAGAAAUAACCUAAAUGGGAAUCCAACUAUGUUUAUAAGAAAUAAACCCUUCAAAAUUAAGCGUGGUAAAAAUUUAAUUGAUAAUCAAUCAAACUCAAAUAACAAUCAACGCAACUCAACUAAACUAAGCCUUUAUCCCAAAAAUUUGGGGUCGGCUAUAUGGAUUUUCUUUCUCCACUCUAAACGAUUUUGGGUUAAAUUCUUGAAAAUGUGUAAUGCUUCUAGGUUAUGUUGUACUACUCUCUUCCAAGUCAGUUUAGGUCUACCCCUUCUUUUAUUUCCAUCCUCUAACCUAAUGUGCUCUACUUGUCUAACUGUAGCCUCCGUAUGUUUACGCUUCACAUUACCAAACCACCUCAAUCUGCCUUCUCUCAACUUAUCCUCAAUUGGCACCACUCCUACCUUUUAUCUAAUACUCUCAUUACGAACUUUAUCUAGUCUAGUAUGAUCACUCAUCCACCUUAACAUUCUUAUCUCCGCAACUCUUAUCUUAGACACAUAUGACUCCUUCAGUGCCCAACACUCACUACCAUAUAAUAUGGCCGGUCGUAUGGCUGUACGGUAAAAUUUUCAUUUCAAUUUAUUGGGAAUCUUGCGAUCACAUAAAACUCUAGUGGCACGUCUUUACUUCAACCAUUCGGUUUUAAUCCUAUGACUAAUAUUCUCCUCACAUCCCCCAUCUAUUUGAAGGACUGAGCCGAGAUAUUUAAAUUGAUUAUUUUGGGACAGUACCACUCCAUCCAAACUAACUCAUUCCCUAUCACUAGUUCGGCCGUCACUGAACUUGCAAUGCAUGUAUUAUCUAUUCGUUCUACUUAACUUAAAGCCCUUUGACUCUAGGGUACUUCUCUAAAACUCUAACUUUCUAUUUACUACUUCUUGCGUUUCAUCUAUCUGAACUAUAUCAUCCGCAAACAUCAUGCACCAAGGUAUACUCUCUUGUAUAUGUUUCGUCAAUUCAUCUAAAACUAAUGUAAAUAGGUAAGUGCUUACAGCUGAACCUUGGUGUAAUCCAACUGAGAUAGGAAAAUCUUUUGUGUCCUCUCCCACUGUGCGCACAAUAGUAGUUGCUCCUUCAUACAUAUCUUUCAAUACUUGUAUGUACCUAAUAGAUACCCUCUUUUGUUCUAACACUCUCCAUAAGACAUCUCUUGAAAUACUAUCAUAUGCCUUCUCCAAAUCGAUAAAAACCAUGUAUAGAUCUUUCUUCACAUCUCUAUAUUUCUCCAUCAAGCUUCUAAUGAGAAAGAUCGCUUCCAUCAACUAACAAUCAAUGAUAAUAAAAUGAUUCCGGAGUUUAGGGGUUUAUAUUCAAGCUAUUUUCGGAUUUUAAAUUGGUUAUCCAAACACAUGGGAAUUAUGGAUUUCAAGGAGAUCAAUUCUUAAAUCCUUUGAAUACUCUUUCGAGUGCCUUAAUUAACUCAAUCCUACUUUCGUGGAGUUGAGAUUACUUAAAACCCAUUAGGUUCCUUAAUCAAUCUAUUAAUCUUCUUAAUCCUUAGUCUAUUUCUAGAUCCAAGUUAAUUAAGUCAAAUUUAUUGAUUAUCUAUCUCAAGGUUUUCUCCAUUCGGUGCUUCAACCAAGGAUUAUGAACAUUACUACACUAAGCAUGUCAUUGAGCGCACAAGAAAUGGAUGAAACCUCAUAAAAAUCAUAUAAUAUGGAUUACCCAAUUAAAAUCCACAAAAUAUCUUAAAUGUUACAUACCUAAACUCCAGAAUCCUUGAAAACUACUCACUACCCAUAUUUAAUACAAAAGAUUCUAAGUAAAUAUAGAAAUAAAUCUAGGAAAUAAACUAAGAACUAAGAAACCCAGUAAAGGAAAGGUAGAAAAUGAUGAAGAAAAAAAGAAGUUUCCAAAUCUGGUGCAGGAGCAAAAUGCUGGCUGCUUCCUCUCUCUUGCCUUGUCUGCGUUUUUUUUCUUUUCCUCUGUUUUUCUGUCUCUACAAAUGAGGUAAAAAUUCUCUAUUUAUAUUCUCUGACAAAGAAAACCUAAAAUGGUGUGUGUGGUCAUUGAUUCACGUGGGAGAAUCUUUUCUUUCCAGCUCAUUUAUGAAAAAAUGCACAGGUCAUGCAAGAUUUGGUGUGAAUCUGGCAGUUACAGGGGCUUCCUGUGAGGUUGCACAAGUUAUGCGGGCUGCCCGUGCAAGUUUUUGCAUGUUUUGAAGCUUCCCGUGAAAGUGCAUAUGUGGACUGUACAAGUUAUGCGGCAAGUUAUGCAAGUUUCGGCCAUUUGGGAAUAUGAGGACACCUAAUAAACUCCAGCUUAUCUAUACUAAUGUGUGUGGCAAAGUAGUGUGGCAUUCCCAACAAAUCAAGCUUGGAGAGCAUCUAAUAAACUCCAGCUUAUUCAUACUGAUGUGUGUGGCCCUAUGAGGACACCUUCUCUUAAUGGAAGCAAGUAUUUCUUGCUAUUCAUUGAUGAUUACAAUAGAAUGUGUUGGGUGUUCUUUUUAAAAUUGAAGUAUGAGUUGUUCUUUAACUUUCAAAGAUUUAAGUCUUUGGUGGAGAAUCAAUGCAACAAGAAAAUCAAGGUGUUGAGAUUAGAUAAUGGGCCUGAGUUUACUUCACAUGAAUUUGAGAAGUUUCUUCAAGUGGCUGGCAUUCUUCAUCAAUUAACAAUUUCAUAUAUUCCACAGCAAAAUGGAGUGUGCGAAAGAAAAAAUAGGUCAAUUUUGAACAUGGCCAGAUGUUUGUUUUUUGAGAAGCAGCUUCCAAGAAGAUUUUAGGCAAAAUCAGUCAACACUUUAGCGUUCUUGCUUAAGAAGCUACCAACUAAAGCUUUGAAAGAUAAAACUCCAUAUGAGAUGUGGUUUGGAGUUGAGCCUUCUGUUAAGCAUCUCUGAAUCUUUGGUUGUUUAUGCUAUAACCAAGUUCCUGAGGUGAAAAGAGAUAAAUUAGAUGAAAGGGCUAAAGUUGGUGUCUUUAUUGGCUAUAGCAAUCAGUCAAAAGGCUAUAGCAAUCAGUCAAAAGGCUAUAGAGUUUGGAAUUUGAAGUCUAAAAAAAUUGUUGUGAGUAGAAAUGUCAAGUUUGUAGAAGAAUCUUCUUGGGAUUGGGAGAAGUUUGUUGUUUUCUCUUCCAAACAAAUUUCAAUUGAGAAUGUUACUUAAGAAUCAGAAGCAACUGAUGAAGGUGACGGCUAUGAUUCAAAAGAUGUAGAUGAUGAAGCUAUUAGAGGAACAAGAAGAUUGACUAGUUGUAAGUGAACCAGCCAACUAUGUGGAAGAAAAAAAAUCUCAGGAAUAGAGAGCAACAAUGUAGGAGGAGUUUAAUAUGAUUUGCAAAAGUAAUACACGGUGCCUUGUUGAUAGACCGGUUGGAAAGUGUUAAAUGGGUUUAUAGACUAAAGUUAAAUCCUAAUGGUACUAUUAAUAAGUAUAAAGCUAGGCUUGUUGUAAAGGGUUACUUUUAACAAUAUGGAUGGGAUUUUAUAGAAACAUUUGCACCAGUGGCUAAAUUUGACUCUAUCAUAUUGCUUAUUGCUCUUACAGCUCAUAAGUGUAGGGAUGUUUUCCAAUUGGAUGUAAAAUCUGCCUUCUCAAACGGUCACUUGCAGGAGGAGAUUUUUAUUGAGCAACCUAAAGGCUUUAUACAGAAAGAGAGUGAGGAUAAGGUUUAUUUGUUGAAGAAGGCCUUAUAUGGCCUAAAACAGGUACUAAGAGCCUGGUAUUGUAGAAUUGAUGAUCAUCUAAAGAAGUUGGGGUUCAUCAAGAUUUGCAAUGAGGCUACAUUGUUUGUAAAGGAUAAGAAUAGAGAUUUUUAUUGGAAAUCCGGAUCUAAUCCCUGUAUUAUAGGGAUUGUUAUUUCUUUCCUUUAUUGUAUUUAGUGUUUCCUACUUUUUAUUAAUUUCCUAAUCUUUUUAGACUUCUUGUAUAGUGAGAAUUCUUUUGUAUAAAUAGAGACCUGUACAAAGUAAAUAUAUAUAUUGAAAUACACAGAAAAUUCCUCCAAAUCCUAUUAUUUUAUCAUGGUAUCAAAGCUAAGCCAACCUUUUUUGGCAUAAAUUUGCACUUCAAAAAAGAUAUAGGGUUUUUAGGGUUCUUGGGUCAAGCUUCUAAACGUUUGCCUACAAGUGGGAGUUGUUGGUGCUGCCGAUCGGCCUUUUCCCAAAAGAAUCGCAUUGUCCGAUGAAGCGCAUGGUCUCACAUAGGGCUGUGCACGGUUCUUGGGAGAAUUGAACCAAACUAAAAUUUUUUUGAUACUUUGGUUUGGUAAUAAUUCUUCACUAAGAACUAAACUAAAACCGUACUGA
This is an RNA transcript of Hevea brasiliensis (rubber tree), 7898 nucleotides long. It is a transcript of the gene named oligouridylate-binding protein 1A-like, with no coding region annotated. NCBI's taxonomy places the organism in Eukaryota, Viridiplantae, Streptophyta, Magnoliopsida, Malpighiales, Euphorbiaceae. The transcript is spliced from 3 exons. The record is from RefSeq and is a predicted model, not a curated record.